ACGACCUUACUUGAACAGGAUCUGUUCUAUAGGCUCGUAUAUCUGUAUCCUUAAGUACUAAGGAGACAGGCAACCAAGUCUGGUGGAUGAAUCAUGGCCGCACGAUCAGAGCGUGAUUAACAGCUGGGCCCCUUCAUGGGUCCCUUGCAGUAGAGGAUCGUUCCCAAUCAGUUUCUCCUGAUUGGGGUGGUCGCGCGGUUGUCUGACAGACU
Small nucleolar RNA from Magnolia sinica, 212 nucleotides. RefSeq annotates it as small nucleolar RNA U3. The record is from RefSeq and is a predicted model, not a curated record. Lineage: Eukaryota; Viridiplantae; Streptophyta; Magnoliopsida; Magnoliales; Magnoliaceae. The transcript has a single exon.